GUUGCGACAGCUAGGACGCCACGUCAUAAAUAAGGCAUGUGCGACGUCGACACGUGUCAUAUCUUACCAAUCCGCUGCGUUUCAUUAACUAAUCUGUGCAACCGUUUGGGCUUUACUCUUUUAUGGGCUUCAUGUUAAUUUCGUUUGGGUUGGUCGUUUUUUUUUUGUCACAGGGUUGAUCAUUUUGUUGUAUCCAACCUUUUGUUAUUAGACAUAGAUGAAGUGUCGCAUUUCAAUUAGGGUUAAUCCCAGCUCUUCUUCGUCGCCUCCCCAGCACCAAUGUUGCUUUGUUCUUCUCCAUCGCUCUUUCAUCUUCUUCCUCAGAUGCCAAAACGAGUUUGCUUAAUGCUUGAGAGGAUUGAACUAAUACAUUCAACAUAACACCGACUGAGAUUAUACGGCGGUGGUAUGAACAUGUUCAGAACUUCUGCGGCGACCACCUUCAACGGAGGGCUUCUUAGAAAUUUAUCAACUUUCCUGAAGCGUCAAAGAUAUCUCAAAGCGUCCACAGCCAUGGAGAGAUCCAAAGUCCAGAGUAUUAUACGGAGCCAAUCGUGCGUUUCCUUAGAUCUUUUUCUUUCAUCUUUUUUAAAAAAAAAUUUUGGUAUGCUUACUUCCUCUGUAUUCUUUUACUGGAAUUCUCUUUGUCUUCCGGUGGUUUCACGGCGGAUCCAUCACUUGAGUUUAAGGUUGUUCAUAAUGUGGGCUCCCAAAUAAUGGAUUUGACAGGUUUUAAGUAUUUUUUUCAUGCAUAAAGCUUGGAUUCAUAUUUAGCUAUUUAGUAGGAGAAAUGAGUACUGAAGAAAUAAUUAAUAUAUUAUCUAAUAUUUUCUUGCACAACACAUUAUUUAGCAACAAAUCUGUUUCUAAGAGAGCUACAUAUGUACGUACUAUGUAAUUCCUAAUUUAGUUUUCUUGGUAAAUCAAGUUUUGAUUUAGAAACAUUGCGGCUAUCUCUAUAACUAUGCAGAUCUGUGUGAGAGUAUAUGAUUGGGCAAUUGAUGUGUCUUGGUUUUUGCAAGUGUUAAGGAAUUCAUGUUGUUUUCUUUGUGCUUCUGAACUCUUAUCUUGAUCCAGAGUACAAAGACUACAUAGGUAAUUUGAUCAACACUCUUUGUGCAUUUUCAAAAGUUACAUAUCAGUUGAUUAUUUUCUUUGAUGUCCUGUGUUAUAAUCCCUCAACAUUAUAGAGUGUAGAAGUUUAGUAGUCCAACAAGUUGAUCACAUAUAGAAAAUAUUGAACUGCUUUUUCAUUGUGUUUAAAAGUAUCCAUUAUUCAUACUUCAUCUGUAUGAAUGAUGACAUGCCAUCGGGUUUGACCGAGAAUGUAUUACAGCGGACGUAGCGCUGGUUUAACUCCAUUGGUGCAGGCUUAGCAAUAUCGCCAGGUGAUGUAGCUUUAAAGGUUUCUAAUCUUAAUCCCAACUUCUCAUCAGCCCCUCCAUCAUUCACCAAACAGAUUUGUGGGCCUACCAAAAUAGAAAAGCAGAAACGUUUAUGCAGCUUAUUUGCCAUUUCUGCUGGAGAACAGAGGUAGCUGCUGCAAAUACUGAAGGAAGCUGAGAGCUUGACUUCUUGAACGGCGUCAACCUUGGUUCUCAAUUUCCAAGUCAUUUUUCAGUUCCACGUUUUGCUGGCUGUUUUAGAUUGCUAAACUGGAAUAUGAAGCUAGAGUGGAAAUCAUUGUGAAGGAUGGCUUUUGUCUGAUAAAAUGAUGCAAAUGAGUGAUGGAAAAAGGAUAGAAGCAUUGCAAAGGACAAGAAUUCUGAGACAACUGUGAGAUCUACAUAUUUACAUUUUGAUACUACGGAAACUUAAAAAAUCUUUCAUCAGUUUUAGACUUUCACCCUAAUUGAUUUAUGCCCACAAUCUCAAACAAGUAAGACAUCUGCAUAUAUUCUAACAGAUGUGUGUUUCUUAUGUUGUCUCCAACAUGUAACUAAUAGUGUGAUCUUUCUCUUUCUUUUUUUGAAUAUUCGGUGGCCACAAUCAAUGAUUUCCAAAAAGCUUUUAUAUCUAAAGAACUAUGAUGCUAUGUAUUUUCCUCCAUUACUCUAUUCCAAACUUUUUAUACCUUUCUAUCGGAGGAGCUCCAUUUCUAACAUUUCCAGACUUUGUCACUCACUUUCUCUAUAAUUGACUUAAAAGUAAUUUAAGUUUGGCUCCAUUUUCUUAAAUUUUGGUUUUCUGGGUUUAAUGUAGUUUUGAAGUAAAUUGUAAACUCAAUAACAUUAUGCAACUU
Raphanus sativus (radish) is the source of this 2242-nucleotide long non-coding RNA. RefSeq lists it as uncharacterized. The transcript is spliced from 3 exons. Lineage: Eukaryota; Viridiplantae; Streptophyta; Magnoliopsida; Brassicales; Brassicaceae. The record is from RefSeq and is a predicted model, not a curated record.